Fundulus heteroclitus (mummichog) is the source of this 424-nucleotide long non-coding RNA. RefSeq lists it as uncharacterized. The transcript has 2 exons. Lineage: Eukaryota; Metazoa; Chordata; Actinopteri; Cyprinodontiformes; Fundulidae. The record is from RefSeq and is a predicted model, not a curated record.
AGGCAUUGUGUAUAUGUUGUUCCAAUGUUAACCACUAGGUGUCAUUAUUACAUAUUGUUCCUUUAAGGAGUGUUUUCUUCUGUGGUAUCUCAAGCCGCUCCUUAUGAUUAGUUCCUUGCUCCUCAUCUUGUUUAGUAACCAGCCUUCUAUUAUCAUCUUUAAAGGGUCCUGCCUGCAAGAAAUCGGGAACUGGUUCCUCGCCUGAAGACUUUUUAAAAUCUCAAAUCAAAUCCGACUACAGGCAGCUCCAAGCCUCAACCUGUCUGCCUUCCGACGCCACUAGGAUCUUCAAGCUCACACCCUGGAUCCAGACCACCCAACCCAAACCUCAUCUACAAACCAAUGUUCCUGUAUUCCCCGAGCCGGCUACAGUUCCUGCGGAACAAGAUCACUUCUCACUAACUUCAAUAAACGGUUAAACUUU